GCCCGGUUAGCUCAAUCGGUAGAGCGUGAGACUCUUAAUCUCAAGGUUGCGGGUGAGUAGCCAAAAAUUCGGGCUUCUUAGAAUAUGAAUCAAGAAUACUAAUAUUGUGUACUUAGGUUCGACCCCCGCAUCGGGCU
Molecule: non-coding RNA, 137 nt
Organism: Xylaria longipes
Lineage: Eukaryota; Fungi; Ascomycota; Sordariomycetes; Xylariales; Xylariaceae
Source: the annotation of a GenBank genome assembly